RNAcentral lists this transfer RNA (70 nucleotides) under Eremias stummeri (Stummer's racerunner). RNAcentral describes it as "tRNA-Ser". It matches the Rfam family "tRNA". Rfam says of the family: Transfer RNA (tRNA) molecules are approximately 80 nucleotides in length. Their secondary structure includes four short double-helical elements and three loops (D, anti-codon, and T loops). RNAcentral also lists the same sequence under 1 other name. Lineage: Eukaryota; Metazoa; Chordata; Lepidosauria; Squamata; Lacertidae. The record is from RNAcentral.
AAGGGAGAAGCACCAGGAAGCAUAGCUGGCUUGAAACUAGUUAGAGGGGGUUCAAAUCCUCCCUCCCUUG